UAAAUUUAUCAAAUACAUCGCCCUCCGGCGUCGUCGUGAACUAUGACUCAUUCCGGCUAUAUAAUCGGCGAUUUCAUGCUCCUGAGCGCGGCGGUGAAGCCAUGGAUGGCGUCUCCAGUAUUUCUCGAGCUCGUGUUGCCAUUGUUCUACACAAAUCCUGUGGGUUUCCAUACAUGUCUUUAACAUACACUGCCAGUUUCCUGAUUCCCCAUGGGACAAUGUGUAGCCAGCUUGAUCCAGCCUGAUUCAAGUGUGGUAAGCAGCAGCAUGAGACAGAAGAAUGUUAUGAGCUACAAUGUAUGGUUCCACCGAUGACGUCCCCUUCUUACAAAACCAAUG
Long non-coding RNA from Capsella rubella, 339 nucleotides. RefSeq lists it as uncharacterized. The record is from RefSeq and is a predicted model, not a curated record. NCBI's taxonomy places the organism in Eukaryota, Viridiplantae, Streptophyta, Magnoliopsida, Brassicales, Brassicaceae. The transcript has 3 exons.